RNAcentral lists this ribosomal RNA (1550 nucleotides) under Enterobacter sp. RHBSTW-01064. RNAcentral describes it as "bacterial SSU rRNA". It matches the Rfam family "Bacterial small subunit ribosomal RNA". The record is from RNAcentral. Lineage: Bacteria; Pseudomonadati; Pseudomonadota; Gammaproteobacteria; Enterobacterales; Enterobacteriaceae.
AAAUUGAAGAGUUUGAUCAUGGCUCAGAUUGAACGCUGGCGGCAGGCCUAACACAUGCAAGUCGAGCGGUAACACAGAGAGCUUGCUCUCGGGUGACGAGCGGCGGACGGGUGAGUAAUGUCUGGGAAACUGCCUGAUGGAGGGGGAUAACUACUGGAAACGGUAGCUAAUACCGCAUAACGUCGCAAGACCAAAGAGGGGGACCUUCGGGCCUCUUGCCAUCAGAUGUGCCCAGAUGGGAUUAGCUAGUAGGUGGGGUAACGGCUCACCUAGGCGACGAUCCCUAGCUGGUCUGAGAGGAUGACCAGCCACACUGGAACUGAGACACGGUCCAGACUCCUACGGGAGGCAGCAGUGGGGAAUAUUGCACAAUGGGCGCAAGCCUGAUGCAGCCAUGCCGCGUGUAUGAAGAAGGCCUUCGGGUUGUAAAGUACUUUCAGCGGGGAGGAAGGUGUUGAGGUUAAUAACCUCAGCAAUUGACGUUACCCGCAGAAGAAGCACCGGCUAACUCCGUGCCAGCAGCCGCGGUAAUACGGAGGGUGCAAGCGUUAAUCGGAAUUACUGGGCGUAAAGCGCACGCAGGCGGUCUGUCAAGUCGGAUGUGAAAUCCCCGGGCUCAACCUGGGAACUGCAUUCGAAACUGGCAGGCUAGAGUCUUGUAGAGGGGGGUAGAAUUCCAGGUGUAGCGGUGAAAUGCGUAGAGAUCUGGAGGAAUACCGGUGGCGAAGGCGGCCCCCUGGACAAAGACUGACGCUCAGGUGCGAAAGCGUGGGGAGCAAACAGGAUUAGAUACCCUGGUAGUCCACGCCGUAAACGAUGUCGACUUGGAGGUUGUGCCCUUGAGGCGUGGCUUCCGGAGCUAACGCGUUAAGUCGACCGCCUGGGGAGUACGGCCGCAAGGUUAAAACUCAAAUGAAUUGACGGGGGCCCGCACAAGCGGUGGAGCAUGUGGUUUAAUUCGAUGCAACGCGAAGAACCUUACCUACUCUUGACAUCCAGAGAACUUUCCAGAGAUGGAUUGGUGCCUUCGGGAACUCUGAGACAGGUGCUGCAUGGCUGUCGUCAGCUCGUGUUGUGAAAUGUUGGGUUAAGUCCCGCAACGAGCGCAACCCUUAUCCUUUGUUGCCAGCGGUCCGGCCGGGAACUCAAAGGAGACUGCCAGUGAUAAACUGGAGGAAGGUGGGGAUGACGUCAAGUCAUCAUGGCCCUUACGAGUAGGGCUACACACGUGCUACAAUGGCGCAUACAAAGAGAAGCGACCUCGCGAGAGCAAGCGGACCUCAUAAAGUGCGUCGUAGUCCGGAUUGGAGUCUGCAACUCGACUCCAUGAAGUCGGAAUCGCUAGUAAUCGUAGAUCAGAAUGCUACGGUGAAUACGUUCCCGGGCCUUGUACACACCGCCCGUCACACCAUGGGAGUGGGUUGCAAAAGAAGUAGGUAGCUUAACCUUCGGGAGGGCGCUUACCACUUUGUGAUUCAUGACUGGGGUGAAGUCGUAACAAGGUAACCGUAGGGGAACCUGCGGUUGGAUCACCUCCUUACCUUAAAGAA